UGUACACUAAAUGUCCACUAGCUGUACACUAAAUGUCCACUAACUGUACACUAAAUGUCCACUAGCUGUACACUAAAUGUCCAGUAGCUGUACACUAAAUGUACACUAGCUGUACACUAACUGUCCACUAACUGUACACUAAAUGUCCAGUAGCUGUACGCUAAACGUCGACUAUGUGUGUAUAAGGUUCUCAUAUAGCUGGCACCAGUUGCCUUUUUAAAAUAAAAGACGUUAACCAUCAUGUAAUGUCUCAUUUUAUGAAGAUUAAUUAAUUAAUUAAUUAAUUAAUUUCCCGGAAGGGAUUAUUCAAGAUGUUUAGUACUUUGUAAAACCACUCUCACGGAGUUGAAUGGGAAGUGGACAGCACGCGAUGCCCAGCAGCGAGACAGCGUCACAAAGCGUGACGUCACUCAACAAUGACGUCAAGCCCCGGCGACAGAGAACAAACGCGCGUCAGUAACAGCAAGGCUUGUUUUUAUCUGGCCUACCCCUCUAGGGACAAAUAAAAUGAAAUCGCUGGAAAAUGACGUCAAGAGUCGUCUGCUUAUUCGCACUUCCAGCGAAAAGUGAGUGGACUGAACUUCGCGGGAAACUAAUUUUUGUUUUUAAGAAAAGCCUGAAAGUGAGGAGAAGCAAUCCGGCCCCUGACUCACGAUGUAUGACGAGCAUCUCACGACAGCUGCUGUGUCACUGGUUGUUGGCUUUGCGGCCCAUCUGUUUUUUAUUUUCAGCUUUGCAUACACCUGGGAAUUUUGGCGACAGGUCAAGUGGUACAUCAUCGUCAUGACUGUCGGCAAUGUUCUUAGUCUCUAUAAAAUGGUCCUGACAGUGAUGAUCCUCGGGAAGUACUGGUCCAUCUCCACGGAUGAAGCCUACAAAUUCGUGGAGUUCAUCUCUUCGCUUGGACUCUGCCUCACCAACAUGUCCAUCGCUGCCUUGGCUGUCCACGUCCUCCUGACCUCAGCCACCGGUUGCCAGGGCAACACUUGGCGACAUGGAUUUCUCAUCGGUGUUUUCGUCCACUGGAGCCUAUCCCGGACUUUGUACCAGAUCUUCACUCCUUCGGCGAAACAUAAAUUACUAUGCACCAAUGGUUUUAAAGAUGAAGAAACAGAAGAUCAUACCACAUUGGCUUUACAGUGAUUUCCGUGGUCUUACCUCUAAUUAUUAUAAUAAGCGCAUGUGUGGCAUCUAUACUUUUGAACAGAACUUCCAACAGAAAGACUGUCAUCUCGGAUGUGGACAAUGCCGAACUCUCUCUGACGAUAUUUCUUGGGCUAGUCGUGCCAAAAAAGGUGUGGUUGAAAUCCUUAGGGCUUUGUGGUCUAUUGGUCUUCUGGUGGCAACAUACAAUAUUCCUUUCAAUGUUGCUUAUCUUGGGAUUCACAAUAGAGACAAUCUGGGCCUCGACUUGUAGCACCACACCUCACAAUUGUGUCCAAUUUAUCUACAGUGACAUCACACCAGUCUACUGUCGGCUGUACUACUUCACAUUCUCCUUUCCAGCCGUCACUUCCUGUGCCUGCGCCACAUUUGGAUAUGCCUUGGCGUUUCUCGAUCGCUACUUUAUGCCUUCAGGCAGACAGUAAAACAACAUUGACAAGCACAACAUAACGGGUCAACUGACCCCAGCGGUCACGCACAACAACUGACCCCAGAGGUCACGCACAAGGGACACAAACCGGUCAGCUCACUGAGUUGUCCUCCAAACCGUUACAGCGACUUGUCUACCAUCAAACUGCCUUCAUUAUAGCUGAAGUUCUCUUAAGUUCAUUUCUAACCGAGAAAUUGCUUUAAACAGCUUAGAGACGUGUUAUAAUUUAGCUUCGUAGUUUCCUUUUUUUCUGGUGUUUGGACCUUCAUUGCAGCAAUUCGCUAAUUUAAACACUAAAACGAAGUGUGACACCAUGAGGUCAAGCUUCUUUAUUUUCUGUGUGAAAUUAUGAUCUCGAUGCCUGUGUAAUACAUUUGUUCAGAUGCUACACACACUAACCCCACUCUCGCCGUCGAUCUCCACCUCACGCGCCGCCGCUAAAACAAUAUUCGGCAAUACGACAUGCCAAACAAUAACGACAAUGGAAACAGUGACUAAUGCCUAAUGUCUCGAAAUACCUACCCACCUUAUCUAAAAACAACCAAUAUUUUCAUUUACUAUGGGUUGAAUUCAUGAAGCGAGGGUAAGUCGUUACACAGGGGUAAAAAUGCAUUUAUGCCAUAGCUAAUAAAAUGCAAAUAAAAUAAAAAGUGUGUGAUUAAUUAUACUAAUCAGACAUGUCGUACAACAGCACACAGCCGUCACAAGGGCCAAUAUAACCGUAGUAGGUAAAAGUAAUGUGAAGAUAAAGAUCUUAAUGAAUAGAUAAGUAUCAAUAUGUAAUGACAUAGCUCUUGACUCU
RNA transcript from Pomacea canaliculata, 2396 nucleotides. RefSeq lists it as uncharacterized. The transcript has 9 exons. NCBI's taxonomy places the organism in Eukaryota, Metazoa, Mollusca, Gastropoda, Architaenioglossa, Ampullariidae. The record is from RefSeq and is a predicted model, not a curated record.